GUUAAUAGAGAGAUAAUGAGAAAGUGGACUAUGGAGAAGCUACGUAUCUUACGAACUGGUGGCUACAAAUGGCCAGUGGCGGUGCUUCUGCCGGAAAAUUCGUCGGUGCCGGAGUACUGUUGUUGACUAAACCUGGCUCCUUAAAUAUCCGUCGAAAACACUUUUUGCCAUUAAAAAGUUCAGCACAUUAUUAUUUUUUUCAAAAAUUAUCAUAUAGUUGUAUCAGUCGCCAAAACGACUCGACGGUUUGGUCGCAGAGAUUCAAAUUUAGUAAGAAUAAAAGCUAUAGACAAAGCGGUGGUUUAGACGGAGAAGAAGAAGAAGAAAGUUCUGAAAGAAAACGCAAAAAGCGGAGGUGGUGGUCCGAUGAAACGCCGUUUAUGGAGGAACAAGAAGAAGAACCACCUGAUAUUUUGGAGGAAUUUAUUGACGAUCUUUGGAUUAUUGAGGUAUUCAAAUCCUACGGUUGGGGGCUUCCACUCAUAAUUAUAUCUUGGUUGAUAGCCACUGGUCCUAAAGCUUUGCUUAUGACAUUAGCUUUCCCUUUUGGGCAGUUAAUCACUACUUUUGUGUUUAAGAAGCUUUGGGGAACGGCUCGGAGUAAAAAGCCGAAACGCACGGCCGGAAAGAGGAGGAAAAGGAAACCAUUUGUGACUUCUCCAAGUGAUGUUGAAAAUGAAGAACAAGAGCAAGAAAUGCAGGAGGAGAGUGUGAAGGGAGAUAAUGUUAAGGGUUUUCAGUCUUGGGUAGGUAAUGAUGAUGGUUCGGUUAAUAAGGGAAGUAAAGAGGAGCCCUGUUUUGGUGGAUGGGAUGAGCUUGAUCGGAUGGAAGCUACGCAACGCCCACCUCGGAGGGACGGUCAGCCUCGGAGAAGAACAUCGAUGAAUGGGAAAUUGGGUAAGAGAGGAAGUAAAAAUGAUGUGCCUUUGCUGUUGAGAUUGUUGAUUUCGUUUUUUCCAUUUUUAGGUUCUUGGACAAAGAUGCUUUAGUAAAAAUCUGGUAUGCUAGAUUAGAAUCUGCAGUAUUGUGAGCUUUUGGGUUGAAGCAUGAGUUCAUGAUCGAGAAGGGUUGUUCGUCGACUCUGUUCGUUUUGAGCAUUUUCCAUUUCACAGAAUUGGGAGAAUAUUGAGAAAAAUUUCAUGUUAUUUUUGAAGUGUUUCAUGGCAAUGCAGAGUGUCACUGCAUAUGAGUGCCUAUUGCCUGGUAAUUGUUUGCUUCACCCUGGCAGAAGGGAAGGGAUUCUUUUUUAUCAACGGAAGGGAUUCUUACAACCUUAUAAUCAAAGACAGAUGAAUCAUAUCCAAACCCUAUAGCCUUCCAUGCAUGAAAAGGAAAUAUAUGGUCAGGUUAUGGGGAAGGUAAUGUUGUAGGUUCUCUGGUAGAGGGAUUCCAUAGAAUCAGACGCAGUCAGAGAAACACAUACGACACCAUCACAGCAACACAUGAUCUCCAAUAGAUCCCACGUGAUCUCCAACGGAUCCCAGGUUGAUGGUGUAAAAUCAGUCGGAAAGCUGUGUGAUACAUACAUCUUCGCAUUGUUGUUCUUCUACUUUUUUGAUUGUUUCAUAAUCUGCCAUUUUUAUCAGCCAGCUUCUGCAAAGUUUCCGUGGCAGCUGUUUCUGCAUUGCUUCAAGUCCUCGUGCAGUUUUCACAGCGUUGACAACGAACUUCUCUUGAAAAAUCAAAGAAAUUGUGACAUUAUGACGACUCUAGUAGUUCCUGGUGAAAUUCUGCCAUUGUGACGAUUCUAGUAGUUCUGUGAAACUAUGGCUGCUAAUAAGAGAAUUCCAUUGCUUCGAAAUGCACUUCAA
RNA transcript from Mercurialis annua (annual mercury), 1811 nucleotides. RefSeq lists it as uncharacterized. Lineage: Eukaryota; Viridiplantae; Streptophyta; Magnoliopsida; Malpighiales; Euphorbiaceae. The transcript has 3 exons. The record is from RefSeq and is a predicted model, not a curated record.